RNAcentral lists this unclassified non-coding RNA (253 nucleotides) under uncultured Cryomorphaceae bacterium. RNAcentral describes it as "contains 16S-23S intergenic spacer region". It matches the Rfam family "Bacterial small subunit ribosomal RNA", at positions 524 to 776 of the family's 1533-position model. Lineage: Bacteria; Pseudomonadati; Bacteroidota; Flavobacteriia; Flavobacteriales; Cryomorphaceae. The record is from RNAcentral.
UACGGAGGAUCCGAGCGUUAUCCGGAUUCAUUGGGUUUAAAGGGUCCGUAGGCGGGGCAUUAAGUCAGUGGUGAAAUCCUGCGGCUCAACCGUAGAACUGCCAUUGAUACUGGUGCCCUUGAGUAUAGUUGAGGUGGGCGGAACAAGUCAUGUAGCGGUGAAAUGCAUAGAUAUGACUUAGAACACCUAUUGCGAAGGCAGCUCACUAAGCUAUAACUGACGCUGAGGGACGAAAGCGUGGGGAGCGAACAGG